This 67-nucleotide transfer RNA is filed under the name Jacobsonina aliena. Its description in RNAcentral is "tRNA-Leu". It matches the Rfam family "tRNA". From Rfam's summary of the family: Transfer RNA (tRNA) molecules are approximately 80 nucleotides in length. Their secondary structure includes four short double-helical elements and three loops (D, anti-codon, and T loops). Lineage: Eukaryota; Metazoa; Arthropoda; Insecta; Blattodea; Blattellidae. The record is from RNAcentral.
ACUGUUUUGGCAGAUAAGUGCAAUGGAUUUAGAAUCUAAUUAUGUAGAUUGAUAUCUAUAAAUAGUA